UUGAAACAUUGGUUCUCAUAUAAUCACCAAAGUUAAGCGACGCUGAGCCUGGUCAGUAACUAGAUGGGUCACCGCUUGGGAAUACCAGGUGCUGUAA
This is a non-coding RNA of Acanthosepion pharaonis, 97 nucleotides long. NCBI's taxonomy places the organism in Eukaryota, Metazoa, Mollusca, Cephalopoda, Sepiida, Sepiidae. The record is from the annotation of a GenBank genome assembly.